GCCGAGUGUGUUGGUGCACACCUGUGUCCCAGUUCCUUGGGAGGCUGAGGUGGGAGGAUCACUUGAGCCCAGGAGGUUGAGGCUGCAGUGAGCCAUGAGUAGACCACUGCACUCCAGCCUGGGCAACAAAGUGAGACUCUGUCUCACAAAUAAAUAAAUAAAUAAAUACAAGGGAGGCUGAGGCAGGAGUUCAAAGCUGCAGUGAGAUAUGAUCAGGCCACUUUACUCCACCCUGGGCAACACAGUGAGCCCCUGUCUCU
Molecule: unclassified non-coding RNA, 260 nt
Organism: Chlorocebus sabaeus (green monkey)
Lineage: Eukaryota; Metazoa; Chordata; Mammalia; Primates; Cercopithecidae
Rfam family: Metazoan signal recognition particle RNA
About the family: The signal recognition particle (SRP) is a universally conserved ribonucleoprotein. It is involved in the co-translational targeting of proteins to membranes.
Source: Ensembl